AACGAACGCUGGCGGCAUGCCUAACACAUGCCAGUCGAACGAGACCUUCGGGUCUAGUGGCGCACGGGUGCGUAACGCGUGGGAACCUGCCCUUAGGUUCGGAAUAACUCCCCGAAAGGGGUGCUAAUACCGGAUAAAGUCUUCGGACCAAAGAUUUAUCGCCUUUGGAUGGGCCCGCGUUGGAUUAGCUAGUUGGUAGGGUAAAAGCCUACCAAGGCGACGAUCCAUAGCUGGUCUGAGAGGAUGAUCAGCCACACUGGGACUGAGACACGGCCCAGACUCCUACGGGAGGCAGCAGUGGGGAAUAUUGGACAAUGGGCGAAAGCCUGAUCCAGCAAUGCCGCGUGAGUGAUGAAGGCCUUAGGGUUGUAAAGCUCUUUUACCCGGGAUGAUAAUGACAGUACCGGGAGAAUAAGCUCCGGCUAACUCCGUG
This 433-nucleotide ribosomal RNA is filed under the name uncultured bacterium. RNAcentral's name for it is "partial 16S ribosomal RNA". It matches the Rfam family "Bacterial small subunit ribosomal RNA", at positions 29 to 507 of the family's 1533-position model. The record is from RNAcentral.